RNAcentral lists this ribosomal RNA (266 nucleotides) under uncultured Staphylococcus sp. Its description in RNAcentral is "partial 16S ribosomal RNA". It matches the Rfam family "Bacterial small subunit ribosomal RNA", at positions 96 to 356 of the family's 1533-position model. Lineage: Bacteria; Bacillati; Bacillota; Bacilli; Caryophanales; Staphylococcaceae. The record is from RNAcentral.
CGGCGGACGGGUGAGUAACACGUGGAUAACCUACCUAUAAGACUGGGAUAACUUCGGGAAACCGGAGCUAAUACCGGAUAAUAUAUUGAACCGCAUGGUUCAAUAGUGAAAGACGGUUUUGCUGUCACUUAUAGACGGAUCCGCGCCGCAUUAGCUAGUUGGUAAGGUAACGGCUUACCAAGGCAACGAUGCGUAGCCGACCUGAGAGGGUGAUCGGCCACACUGGAACUGAGACACGGUCCAGACUCCUACGGGAGGCAGCAGCG